UACGGGGGGAGCAAGCGUUGUUCGGAAUUACUGGGCGUAAAGGGCUCGUAGGCGGCCAACUAAGUCGGACGUGAAAUCCCUCGGCUUAACCGGGGAACUGCGUCCGAUACUGGAUGGCUUGAGUUCGGGAGAGGGAUGCGGAAUUCCAGGUGUAGCGGUGAAAUGCGUAGAUAUCUGGAGGAACACCGGUGGCGAAGGCGGCAUCCUGGACAGACACUGACGCUGAGGAGCGAAAGCCAGGGGAGCAAACGGG
This 253-nucleotide ribosomal RNA is filed under the name uncultured bacterium. RNAcentral's name for it is "partial 16S ribosomal RNA". It matches the Rfam family "Bacterial small subunit ribosomal RNA", at positions 524 to 776 of the family's 1533-position model. The record is from RNAcentral.